This 389-nucleotide ribosomal RNA is filed under the name Enterococcus sp. S133_ASV_20. RNAcentral describes it as "partial 23S ribosomal RNA". It matches the Rfam family "Bacterial large subunit ribosomal RNA", at positions 493 to 884 of the family's 2925-position model. The record is from RNAcentral. Lineage: Bacteria; Bacillati; Bacillota; Bacilli; Lactobacillales; Enterococcaceae.
AACCAGUACCGUGAGGGAAAGGUGAAAAGCACCCCGGAAGGGGAGUGAAAUAGAACCUGAAACCGUGUGCCUACAACAAGUCAAAGCCCGUUAAUGGGUGAUGGCGUGCCUUUUGUAGAAUGAACCGGCGAGUUACGAUUGCAUGCGAGGUUAAGUUGAAGAGACGGAGCCGCAGCGAAAGCGAGUCUGAAUAGGGCGUUUGAGUAUGUAGUCGUAGACCCGAAACCAUGUGAUCUACCCAUGUCCAGGUUGAAGGUGCGGUAAAACGCACUGGAGGACCGAACCCACGUACGUUGAAAAGUGCGGGGAUGAGGUGUGGGUAGCGGAGAAAUUCCAAACGAACUUGGAGAUAGCUGGUUCUCUCCGAAAUAGCUUUAGGGCUAGCCUCG